UACAGAGACUGCAAGCGUUAUUCGGAUUCACUGGGCGUAAAGGGUGCGCAGGCGGCCAAGUGUGUGAGGCGUGAAAGCCCGGGGCUUAACCCCGGAAUUGCACCUCAAACUACAUGGCUAGAGCAUUGGAGAGGGUAGCAGAAUUCCAGGUGUAGCGGUGAAAUGCGUAGAUAUCUGGAGGAACACCGGUGGCGAAGGCGGCAUCCUGGACCGACACUGACGCUGAGGCGCGAAAGCUAGGGUAGCAAACGGG
Molecule: ribosomal RNA, 253 nt
Filed under: uncultured bacterium
Lineage: Bacteria
Description: partial 16S ribosomal RNA
Rfam family: Bacterial small subunit ribosomal RNA
Source: RNAcentral